Molecule: long non-coding RNA, 4916 nt
Organism: Orcinus orca (killer whale)
Lineage: Eukaryota; Metazoa; Chordata; Mammalia; Artiodactyla; Delphinidae
Exons: 3
Source: RefSeq, a predicted model, not a curated record
UACACUUGAAGAGGAGGAUUCAGUAUCAAACUUUAUAACCCAGAUAUUGGUAACAUCAGUUUGUUAGUAUCAUGUUUCACUGAAAGAAAGAUGCACAUGUCGACUGAAAAAAAUUUUGCAGCAUGAGAAUGCCUUGUAUACCGUAUCUUCAAAGGCAAUCGUCUCCGAGUUCCUGCUACCGUUAACAAAGUACUGCAAACGGGGUGGCUCAAGAGAAAUAUAUCGUCUUACAGUUCCGGAGGUUAGAAGUUCAAGGUGUUGGCAGGGUUGGUUCCUUCUGAGAGCUGUGAGGACAAUCUGUUCCAUGCCUCUCUCCUAGCGUCAGGAGACCAUUGUCAGAGGUAACUGAUACUGUGGUCAUUGUCCUGUGUUCAAAACAUACAAACAGGGAGUUCCCUGGUGGUACAGUGGUUAAGAAUCCGCCUGCCAAUGCAGAGGACACAGGUUCGAUCCCUGGUCCGGGAAGAUCCCACAAGCUGCAGAGCAACUAAACCCGUGCUCCACAACUGUUGAGCCUGUGCUCUAGAGCCCACAAGCCACAACUACUGAGCCCAGCGCCACAACUACUGAAGUCUGCACACCUAUAGCCUGUGCUCUGCAACAAGAGGAGCCAGCACAAUGAGAAGCCCGUGCACCACAACGAAGAGUAGCCCCCGCUCGCCACAACUAGAGAAAGCCUGCAUGCAGCCACGAAGACCCAACACAGCCAAAAACGUAAAUAAAUAAAGAUAAAAUAUGUUAAAUAAAAAUUUAUUAAAAACACACACACGCACAGACACAAACAGGGUCCCUGUACUCAUCUCCCGCAUUUGGGGUCUGAGGACUGUCUACUACCUUAGAGGCAUCUGGAGUGUGGCUUUCAAAGGCAAAUUCAAAUCCAACAGAUGAUUAUAAUGUGUCUUAGAGUCUGAGAACCACCGUCUUCUGGACCUUGCACAGGAAUAGGGCCCAUUUCCCAUCUGGCAGGACUACGUAGUAAAGUUUGAGUUACUCAGGAAAAUGUCCUAAUAUGAGAUGUUAUACGCACAUCACUAACUUUAGUUAACUUUCAGAUAUCCCAUCAUUUCUCAAAAUCGGUUUUAUAGUUGUGGCAAUAAGAUUAACUUUAAAAAACAGUUCCCCGGAAAUAAAAAAUAAUAGUAACUGUUCAGCUCCAUGCUAUGGGUGUGAUUCAAUCCUUUCCUGGAAGCUAAUGAAGCUCUCAGCAAGGACCAUAACCAAGCUGGACACAGGGGAGCUUCCAGAAGUGGAGUCAUCCCAGGUGAAGGGACGGCCCUGGUCAUGUCAAUAAAGUGUUCUAAUUCCUGCUGGUUAUUGGACACUGCAGACAAUGGAAGGAGGAUGCUGGAUAAAGGAAUAAUCUUCUUGGUGUAAAAGUCCUCACUAAGCUCUUCAGAGAAUUUACUCCUGCAGGGCUAAGGAAAGGCCCAUUUCUUCCCUGGGAACUCGUGAAGAAAUUUCACGAAAUGCGGGCCCAGAAAGCCCCACCCCUCCUGUGUGUGAUGAGGGAGCAGGGCAGCUCUGCUACUGGUACCACCUUGAGUCAAUAGUGCCCCCCCCCUUUCCUGCCAGGCUUCCCUGUCUUUCAGUCCAAGCUAUCUUCAGAAAAGCGACCUUAAGAAGUCCCUUUGCUCUACGGUACUACAUCACAUGGUCUGCACAAAUAAAAUGCUUAGCUCUCUUUUUGUCCCCAAAAUGGCCAUUUGGGAACUUGGACAUUUAGGAAUUUACUUGAAGUGCCUAGGAUAGAGGUCAGUUUAGUUAAUUAGGAGAUUAGUUCUCUUAAUUCUGUUAGUCUGUUAACAAUAACUUAAAUUGUUAUUUUUUCUGUUUUCUGCACAUAACACCUCUUCAGUCUGCAUUUUGUGCUACAGCUUGAACUGUAUCAAGUUCAACUCUCACUGCUUAUUAGAGUCAUUUAGGGAGUUUUGAGGAAUUACAACACCCAGGCCACAUCAUGGGAGAGAGUUUGAUUCUAUGUAAGGUAGGGCCUGAGCAUCGUAUUUUUCAAAGCUUCCAGGUGCUUCAUAAAAUCUCUAACCUCAAAUCUUGAGAGAAUUUAAUCUCUAUAAAUUUUAUCUCUAUAAAGCCCAAUACACGUAACAACUGUGAUGUUUUUGCGGUUAGCUUACAUUUGACUGAUUUGGGACUUUAGUCUAGAGCAAAUCUAUGUCCACAGAGCCAGUUGAAGCUGUGAAACCUCCAUCUUGCCACAUAUGUUUAUGUCCAUUCACAAGCAAGGUUAAUAACUUUCGUGAGAGCUAGUGUCUGGCCCUGUGUUGAACGGGAGACACUUGCAUUUAUCAGCUGCAAUCACUUAACCGCUGCACCUUUACCAUGAAAGCUGAGGGGGCAGGAGUGGGAGAGCAGGAACCCAAAGUCAUCAUUUCUGACAUCCAUUUAAAGCCAAAGUCAUAGAGGAAAGUAAUUGGAUUGAAUGGAAAUAGAGUUUUAGAAUGAAAGUACAUGAUUUGAUUUACCUAAUUCAGUUAAACUUAUACUUUAGAUCAUCUCAUUUAAAUUGCCUGUGUUUCCAUUUAUACUUUGAAUCCCUGGCGUUUACUCAGAAGGCAAAGUUUUCCUAACGUAAAGUAAUGAAGGUCUGUUCACCUCUCCUUCAAGGUCGUCACAGUCAGCCAGGGCCAACUGACACAGGUCCUUCCAAAGACAAUCUCUUUCACUGCUGUGUUGUCUGAGUCAUAGAAUGUAAGCUCCUGAAGGGACUUGAAAAUUUCUAGCGCUGCCCUGGUCUCUCUCUAGCUUCACAUUCUCAGCCUCUGGGAGUUUUGGUAGCUAUGGGAGCCAGCAUUACCUGUGCAGCAGGAUACAGCUUCUCAAGAGCACGCAUCACUGCCGAGGGCAAAAGCCAUGGGGACUUUGACAACACAUCAGAUGGGAACUAAAUGUUCAUUUCCAGAAUGAAAACCAGUCUUGCAGUCCAACAAGAUACUUUAUCCCAAACACAAAAACCAGACAAAUGGAACCAACUAGUUAGAGCUCGUGAUUAGCUAGGUUGAUGACAUGGUGAAUUCCUCCUGACCUGCACCGGAACAUCCCUUGGCCUUAGUGUUUCCCUUGAAAGAAGGAAGCAUGUCAGAGCAGCCUGAGCUGGUGAGCUAAUGCCUCAUCGGGAAGGGAGAGUCCCCAUUGUGGCUGGUGGAGGCCCCAGGAGAGGAUGAAGUAGGCAGCAGUCCUCCUCAUAAUUUCUCACUCAUUUGCUCUCAGUAAAGCAGGAAUGACUGAAGUCACCAAACAAUGCAUUUCACGAUAAGAUAGAUAAUAACGACACAAUCCUACUGCAGGAGGGAAUCAGGCUUUCUUGCUUCUCAGCACGCUCACUCCCAGGGGAAGUCUGAAACUACUGUCUUCAAGCCCUCUGUUUCCCUCAUUCCUCGUAUUCCUUUGAGAUUGUCAGAAAAUCUGUGCUGUGUAGUUAAUAAUAAAUAGAUAUAUUGUUACCUUUCACUAAGAGCAAUAUUAUUUGGGGACAUAUUUUUGUAUCAAUUUAAACACACACAUGUCACCAUUUAUACUUCGUAGUAAUGGUCUGCUUUCUCCACUUUUGUUAUUCUUCUCCAAUAAAUUGUGUCCCUAUAAUGAAGCAUUAAAUUAUGAUUAUUUAUUCACUCAGCAUAACAGGCAAGGCAGCAAUAUAGAGAGCAAUCAACUCAAUAGGUGUUUAUUGGGUAAUGGCUUCAUUUAAAGCACCGAGCCCAGUUACUGGGGUGAGUACGAAAAUGUUCAAGACGUAAAUCCUCUCCCGAGGGCUUCUAUUUUAGUAAAGGAGAUUAAGCCACAGAUACAAAUAAGUCAAAGUAGCAAGAGGCAAAUGUGAAAUACGAAGUGUUGUGAGCUUUCUGAGGACAGUCAGUUAAUGUCUGACUUGGGUCCAGAGUGAAGGGGUGGGUCAGGGAGUGUCCUCUGGAGGGGAUGCUUUUGGCGCUGGGUUCUGAAGGAGGUGAGGAAGAUUUGGACAAGUCCUGGGGAGUGGGUAGAGAUGGGGUGCCCCAGGUAGUAGGAAUAGCGGGGGCUAGGCACAGCCCAGGAAAAUACUGGGCAUUUUCCGGAGCCAUAGAUUAGCUGUUCAGUUGUGACAGAGAGCACACGUCUGAAGGUGGUGAGAAGUAAGUUCUGCUAGAGUGAGAUCCUGAGAGCACUUUGGUGUCAAGCUAAGGAGUUUGAACUUUACCAGUUUAGCUGCCCAGGUUCAGAGAGAAAUGGAUCUAAGUCUUUCCAGAGCAUGGAAUACCCUGGCAGCCUUGGCCCUCCCCAGCUUGCACCUGGUGUGUCUGUGGUGAGCUCCGAACACCUGGCUGUCCUGAGUCACAUCUGCACAGACAUCCACAUGACCAUCUGGGUCUGCAACUCUGCCCUCAACCUCAGUCCACUGGAAUGUGACCCUAGCAUCUGUCUACAUCUUCCUGGAGGGGAGGGGGACAUGCUCUUGUCACACUCUCCUGUGUCCAAAUCAGCUGCUGGCUAGGACUCUAGAGCAGGAGGUAGGUGGGGCAUUCAAAGCUAGUGUUUCUGGUUCUUUCCACUGCACCACAGCUGCCUCCCAUGAUUUACUUUCCUAAUGUCAUAUAAAUGUGUAAGCCUCUAAGAGCAGGAAGGGGAACGUUCAUCUUGCUAUAGUGCUUCUCCAAAUUUGCUUUUUGCUUUAGAGACAUUUAAAUAGCCAUAUCAGAAGAACUAUCAGUUGAAAGACACUUUCAAGGCAAUCAUUCAUGAAUACUUGUUUGAAUAAAUGAAUACACUGAAUGCUUCCUAUAUUAUAGACACUGUGCUAAACUAAAGAAUUAAUAAUAGCUUUUAGUAUCAGUGAAGCAAAAACAUGCUUAACAUCAAAACGUAGUCCCCAGCCUCUUGCCUAGCAAGAUGGCCCACACUCUAUGGAGUGUGUAUCUCCCUGAAUA